This 613-nucleotide ribosomal RNA is filed under the name uncultured bacterium. RNAcentral's name for it is "bacterial SSU rRNA". It matches the Rfam family "Bacterial small subunit ribosomal RNA", at positions 919 to 1533 of the family's 1533-position model. The record is from RNAcentral.
ACCCGCACAAGCGGUGGAUGAUGUGGUUUAAUUCGAUGCAACGCGAAAAACCUUACCUACCCUUGACAUGUCAAGAAGUUACCAGAGAUGGUUUCGUGCUCGAAAGAGAACUUGAACACAGGUGCUGCAUGGCCGUCGUCAGCUCGUGUCGUGAGAUGUUGGGUUAAGUCCCGCAACGAGCGCAACCCUUAUCAUUAGUUGCUACGCAAGGGCACUCUAAUGAGACUGCCGGUGACAAACCGGAGGAAGGUGGGGAUGACGUCAGGUCAUCAUGGCCCUUAUGGGUAGGGCUACACACGUCAUACAAUGGCCGGUACAGAGGGCUGCCAACCCGCGAGGGGGAGCUAAUCUCAGAAAACCGGUCGUAGUCCGGAUCGCAGUCUGCAACUCGACUGCGUGAAGUCGGAAUCGCUAGUAAUCGCGGAUCAGCUUGCCGCGGUGAAUACGUUCCCGGGUCUUGUACACACCGCCCGUCACACCAUGGGAGCGGGUUCUGCCAGAAGUAGUUAGCCUAACCGCAAGGAGGGCGAUUACCACGGCAGGGUUCGUGACUGGGGUGAAGUCGUAACAAGGUAGCCGUAUCGGAAGGUGCGGCUGGAUCACCUCCUUUCUG